UACGUAGGGGGCAAGCGUUAUCCGGAUUUACUGGGCGUAAAGGGAGCGUAGACGGCGGUGCAAGCCAGAUGUGAAAGCCCGGGGCUCAACCCCGGGACUGCAUUUGGAACUGUGCUGCUAGAGUGUCGGAGAGGCAGGCGGAAUUCCUAGUGUAGCGGUGAAAUGCGUAGAUAUUAGGAGGAACACCAGUGGCGAAGGCGGCCUGCUGGACGAUGACUGACGUUGAGGCUCGAAAGCGUGGGGAGCAAACAGG
This 253-nucleotide ribosomal RNA is filed under the name uncultured bacterium. RNAcentral's name for it is "partial 16S ribosomal RNA". It matches the Rfam family "Bacterial small subunit ribosomal RNA", at positions 524 to 776 of the family's 1533-position model. The record is from RNAcentral.